CUUGCAUCUGGAUUCUUAGGUGGUGGAUUAGAGCUAUUCUUUCCUUGCAGACUUGAUAUCUGUGAUGUAUGCAUCCUGUGGUUAUAAUUCAAUGCUUAUUGGGAUUUUGUGAGGCUUAGAAUGAGUCUUCACCUUGCAGACAAAUACUAGUGUGGCCAAUUCUCUUGGAACAUAUUUAUUAUCUCAGAUUUCUUUAAUAUUCCUGGACAUGCUCAAUGUGUACAGAAUGUACAGUGAGCUUAUAUCAAGUAGUAUUGCAGAAGGUGUACCCUUUGCUUCAAAAACAUCCUAUGUGAAACUUCUAUGAUCUGUUCAGAGGGAGACUCUUAAGCUCAUUAAGACAUUUUUAGACAAGGCAGAAGAUCAACCGAAAAUUGGGGAAAAAUUUGUGCCCCCAAUGAUGGAUCCAAUUCUUGGUGAUUAUGCUAGGAAUUUGCCAGAUGCCAGAGAGUCUGAAGUUUUAUCACUUUUUGCUACAAUAAUAAACGAGUCUGGGAAAAAGGAAACAACUGAAUCAGAGACCAACACCAUCGAUGGAGCUAUCGCGAACCUCACCUUCGAUAAGAUGGAUAUGAACGUUCGAGACUUUCCGGUUUGCCACACCCGACAACUCUAAGCAAAAUUGUUAUCGAAGUGAAUGGAAAAGCAAACACGAGUUUCAAGUCAGUCGCUCAGAGAUCCAUUACGCUAAGCACAAAGUGAUGCUGGAGUUGCAGACAUGGAUAUGCAUCGAGAACUACUGCAACCGACAAGAAUACCGCCACUUAAAAAGAAUGAUUGAAAGGGAAGCUCAAAGGAAAAGAUUUAGAUUAAAUUCUUUUGGGCGUGUUUCAAUCAUUGAAUAUGUGUAUAUAUUGCUACUGCUCCCCGCUCGGCUCAGUUUUACUUUUAUUUUAAUAUUUAAGAUAACUUGGAUACUAGCUUUUAGAUUUUAA
This is a long non-coding RNA of Gossypium arboreum, 935 nucleotides long. RefSeq lists it as uncharacterized. The record is from RefSeq and is a predicted model, not a curated record. The transcript is spliced from 4 exons. Lineage: Eukaryota; Viridiplantae; Streptophyta; Magnoliopsida; Malvales; Malvaceae.